UACGUAGGGUGCGAGCGUUAAUCGGAAUUACUGGGCGUAAAGCGUGCGCAGGCGGCGCGUUAAGACAGGUGUGAAAGCCCCGAGCUUAACUUGGGAAUUGCGCUUGUGACUGGCGUGCUGGAGUGUGGCAGAGGGAGGUGGAAUUCCACGUGUAGCAGUGAAAUGCGUAGAGGUGUGGAGGAACACCGAUGGCGAAGGCAGCCUCCUGGGCCAGCACUGACGCUCAUGCACGAAAGCGUGGGGAGCAAACAGG
RNAcentral lists this ribosomal RNA (253 nucleotides) under uncultured bacterium. RNAcentral's name for it is "partial 16S ribosomal RNA". It matches the Rfam family "Bacterial small subunit ribosomal RNA", at positions 524 to 776 of the family's 1533-position model. The record is from RNAcentral.